This 180-nucleotide ribosomal RNA is filed under the name uncultured Glomeromycotina. Its description in RNAcentral is "partial small subunit ribosomal RNA". The record is from RNAcentral. Lineage: Eukaryota; Fungi; Glomeromycota.
GGCCUGGCGGGAUGGUCCGCCUUACGGUGUGUACUGUCCGGCUGGGCCUUACCUCUUGGUGAGACCUCAUGCCUUUACGGGUGUGGGGUGGAACCAGGAAUUUUACCUUGAGAAAAUUAGAGUGUUCAAAGCAGGCAAACGCCCGAAUACAUUAGCAUGGAAUAAUAGAAUAGGACGUGC